Molecule: long non-coding RNA, 261 nt
Organism: Sitophilus oryzae (rice weevil)
Lineage: Eukaryota; Metazoa; Arthropoda; Insecta; Coleoptera; Curculionidae
Exons: 2
Source: RefSeq, a predicted model, not a curated record
UAACUGAUAAAUCCUGUGAGGAAGGGUGAAGGAAAAAGAGACAGAAGAAGCAGAAAAACAAACUAAUUUUAUUGGAAAUUAAAUCAAAAUUGUAAUUUUGACAGUUAAUGUUUGUUUUAGAACAUUAGAACGUUAUAGCACAAGCAUCACGAAGGAGAAGCAGGAAACAUACAAAGAAUCAUGGUCCGUCAUAUACACAGCAAAAUCUAAAUAGUUAUAUAUGUUUAGAGCUUUCAAAAUUAAAGAUAUAUGAUGUCAUGA